GAUCAUGGCUCAGGAUGAACGCUAGCUACAGGCUUAACACUGCAAGUCGAGGGGCAGCAUUCUUCUAGCAAUAGAAGAGGUGGCGACCGGCGCACGGGUGAGUAACACGUAUCCAACCUACCGAUAACUCCGGAAUAGCCUUUCGAAAGAAAGAUUAAUACCGGAUAGUAUACGAAUAUCGCAUGAUAUUUUUAUUAAAGAAUUUCGGUUAUCGAUGGGGAUGCGUUCCAUUAGUUUGUUGGCGGGGUAACGG
Molecule: ribosomal RNA, 253 nt
Filed under: uncultured bacterium
Lineage: Bacteria
Description: partial 16S ribosomal RNA
Rfam family: Bacterial small subunit ribosomal RNA
Source: RNAcentral